This 2941-nucleotide ribosomal RNA is filed under the name Priestia megaterium. Its description in RNAcentral is "Bacillus megaterium 23S ribosomal RNA". It matches the Rfam family "Bacterial large subunit ribosomal RNA". Lineage: Bacteria; Bacillati; Bacillota; Bacilli; Caryophanales; Bacillaceae. The record is from RNAcentral.
AUGGUUAAGUUAGAAAGGGCGCACGGUGAAUGCCUUGGCACUAGGAGCCGAUGAAGGACGGGACUAACACCGAUAUGCUUCGGGGAGCUGUAAGUGAGCUUUGAUCCGGAUAUUUCCGAAUGUGUACACCCACUGUUCGUAAUGGAACAGUAUCUUUAUCUGAAUACAUAGGCUUUUGAAGGCAUACCCUGGGAACUGAAACAUCUAAGUACCCGGAGGAAGAGAAAGCAAAUGCGAUUUCCUGAGUAGCGGCUAGCGAAACGGAAUUAGCCCAAACCAAGAGGCUUGCCUUUUGGGGUUGUAGGACACUCUAUACGGAGUUACAAAGGAACGACGUAAAUGAAGCUACCUGGAAAGGUCCGUCGAAGAAGGUAACAACCCUGUAGUUGAAACUUCGUUCCCUCUUGAGUGGAUCCUGAGUACGGCGGAACACGUGAAAUUCCGUCGGAAGCUGGGAGGACCAUCUCCCAAGGCUAAAUACUACCUAGUGACCGAUAGUGAACCAGUACCGUGAGGGAAAGGUGAAAAGCACCCCGGAAGGGGGAGUGAAAGAGAUCCUGAAACCGUGUGCCUACAAGUAGUCAGAGCCCGUUAAUGGGUGAUGGCGUGCCUUUGUAGAAUGAACCGGCGAGUUACGAUCCCAUGCAAGGUUAAGCUGAUAAGGCGGAGCCGUAGCGAAAGCGAGUCUGAAUAGGGCGUUUAGUAUGUGGUUGUAGACCCGAAACCAGGUGAUCUACCCAUGUCCAGGGUGAAGUUCAGGUAACACUGAAUGGAGGCCCGAACCCACGCACGUUGAAAAGUGCGGGGAUGAGGUGUGGGUAGCGGAGAAAUUCCAAUCGAACCUGGAGAUAGCUGGUUCUCUCCGAAAUAGCUUUAGGGCUAGCCUCAUGUUGUGAGAGUCUUGGAGGUAGAGCACUGAUUGGACUAGGGGCCCCCAACGGGUUACCGAAUUCAGUCAAACUCCGAAUGCCAAAGACUUAUCCAUGGGAGUCAGACUGCGAGUGAUAAGAUCCGUAGUCAAAAGGGAAACAGCCCAGACCACCAGCUAAGGUCCCCAAGUAUACGUUAAGUGGAAAAGGAUGUGGAGUUGCUUAGACAACCAGGAUGUUGGCUUAGAAGCGUACCACCAUUUAAAGAGUGCGUAAUAGCUCACUGGUCGAGUGACUCUGCGCCGAAAAUGUACCGGGGCUAAACGUAUCACCGAAGCUGUGGAUUGACAUCUUUGAUGUCAGUGGUAGGAGAGCGUUCUAAGUGCUGUGAAGUCAGACCGUAAGGACUGGUGGAGCGCUUAGAAGUGAGAAUGCCGGUAUGAGUAGCGAAAGACAAGUGAGAAUCUUGUCCACCGAAUGCCUAAGGUUUCCUGAGGAAGGCUCGUCCGCUCAGGGUUAGUCGGGACCUAAGCCGAGGCUGAAAAGCGUAGGCGAUGGCCAACAGGUUGAUAUUCCUGUACCACCUCCCCGCCGUUUGAGUAAUGGGGGGACGCAGUAGGAUAGGGUAAGCGCGCUGCUGGAUAUGCGCGUUCAAGCAGUUAGGCUGAUGAGUAGGCAAAUCCGCUCAUCAUAAAGGCUGAGCUGUGAUGACGAGGGAAUUAUAGUACCGAAGUUCCUGAUUCCACACUGCCAAGAAAAGCCUCUAGCGAGGCGGGAGGUGCCCGUACCGCAAACCGACACAGGUAGGCGAGGAGAGAAUCCUAAGGUGAUCGAGAGAACUCUCGUUAAGGAACUCGGCAAAAUGACCCCGUAACUUCGGGAGAAGGGGUGCUCUGGUAGGGUGUAUAGCCCGAGAGAGCCGCAGUGAAUAGGCCCAGGCGACUGUUUAGCAAAAACACAGGUCUCUGCGAAGCCGCAAGGCGAAGUAUAGGGGCUGACGCCUGCCCGGUGCUGGAAGGUUAAGAGGAGGGGUUAUCCUUUGGGAGAAGCUCUGAAUCGAAGCCCCAGUAAACGGCGGCCGUAACUAUAACGGUCCUAAGGUAGCGAAAUUCCUUGUCGGGUAAGUUCCGACCCGCACGAAAGGCGUAACGAUCUGGGCACUGUCUCAACGAGAGACUCGGUGAAAUUAUAGUACCUGUGAAGAUGCAGGUUACCCGCGACAGGACGGAAAGACCCCGUGGAGCUUUACUGUAGCCUGAUAUUGAAUUUUGGUACAGCUUGUACAGGAUAGGUAGGAGCCUGAGAAGCCGGAGCGCUAGCUUCGGUGGAGGCGUCGGUGGGAUACUACCCUGGCUGUAUUGAAAUUCUAACCCGCGGCCCUGAUCGGGCCGGGAGACAGUGUCAGGUGGGCAGUUUGACUGGGGCGGUCGCCUCCUAAAAUGUAACGGAGGCGCCCAAAGGUUCCCUCAGAAUGGUUGGAAAUCAUUCGUAGAGUGUAAAGGCACAAGGGAGCUUGACUGCGAGACCUACAAGUCGAGCAGGGACGAAAGUCGGGCUUAGUGAUCCGGUGGUUCCGCAUGGAAGGGCCAUCGCUCAACGGAUAAAAGCUACCCCGGGGAUAACAGGCUUAUCUCCCCCAAGAGUCCACAUCGACGGGGAGGUUUGGCACCUCGAUGUCGGCUCAUCGCAUCCUGGGGCUGUAGUCGGUCCCAAGGGUUGGGCUGUUCGCCCAUUAAAGCGGUACGCGAGCUGGGUUCAGAACGUCGUGAGACAGUUCGGUCCCUAUCCGUCGUGGGCGUAGGAAAUUUGAGAGGAGCUGUCCUUAGUACGAGAGGACCGGGAUGGACACACCGCUGGUGUACCAGUUGUCUUGCCAAAGGCAUCGCUGGGUAGCUAUGUGUGGACGGGAUAAGUGCUGAAAGCAUCUAAGCAUGAAGCCCCCCUCAAGAUGAGAUUUCCCAUAGCGCAAGCUAGUAAGAUCCCUGAAAGAUGAUCAGGUUGAUAGGUCAGAGGUGGAAGCGUGGCAACAUGUGUAGCUGACUGAUACUAAUCGAUCGAGGACUUAACCAAAC